GCCCAUAUAGCUCAGGGGUAGAGCACUUCCUUGGUAAGGAAGAGGUCGCCGGUUCAAUUCCAGCUAUGGGCU
Molecule: transfer RNA, 72 nt
Filed under: methanotrophic endosymbiont of Bathymodiolus azoricus (Menez Gwen)
Lineage: Bacteria
Also listed under: 1 other name
Rfam family: tRNA
About the family: Transfer RNA (tRNA) molecules are approximately 80 nucleotides in length.
Source: Rfam by way of RNAcentral